This 497-nucleotide ribosomal RNA is filed under the name uncultured bacterium. RNAcentral's name for it is "partial 16S ribosomal RNA". It matches the Rfam family "Bacterial small subunit ribosomal RNA", at positions 28 to 507 of the family's 1533-position model. The record is from RNAcentral.
GAUGAACGCUGGCGGCGUGCCUAAUACAUGCAAGCCGAGCGAACGGACGAGAAGCUUGCUUCUCUGAUGUUAGCGGCGGACGGGUGAGUAACACGUGGAUAACCUACCUAUAAGACUGGGAUAACUUCGGGAAACCGGAGCUAAUACCGGAUAAUAUUUUGAACCGCAUGGUUCAAAAGUGAAAGACGGUCUUGCUGUCACUUAUAGAUGGAUCCGCGCUGCAUUAGCUAGUUGGUAAGGUAACGGCUUACCAAGGCAACGAUGCAUAGCCAACCUGAGAGGGUGAUCGGCCACACUGGAACUGAGACACGGUCCAGACUCCUACGGGAGGCAGCAGUAGGGAAUCUUCCGCAAUGGGCGAAAGCCUGACGGAGCAACGCCGCGUGAGUGAUGAAGGUCUUCGGAUCGUAAAACUCUGUUAUUAGGGAAGAACAUAUGUGUAAGUAACUGUGCACAUCUUGACGGUACCUAAUCAGAAAGCCACGGCUAACUACGUG